UAAGGAAUAUUGGUCAAUGGACGCAAGUCUGAACCAGCCAUGCCGCGUGAAGGAUGAAGGUCCUCUGGAUUGUAAACUUCUUUUAUCUGGGACGAAAACGGGAUUUUUAUCUCAAUUGACGGUACCAGAGGAAUAAGCACCGGCUAACUCCGUGCCAGCAGCCGCGGUAAUACGGAGGGUGCGAGCGUUAUCCGGAUUUACUGGGUUUAAAGGGUGCGUAGGUGGGCUUAUAAGUCAGUGGUGAAAUCUCCGAGCUUAACUUGGAAACUGCCGUUGAUACUAUAGGUCUUGAAUUAUCUGGAGGUAAGCGGAAUAUGUCAUGUAGCGGUGAAAUGCUUAGAUAUGACAUAGCACACCAAUUGCGAAGGCAGCUUACUACAUAUAAAUUGACGCUGAGGCACGAAAGCGUGGGGAUCAAACA
This 421-nucleotide ribosomal RNA is filed under the name uncultured bacterium. RNAcentral's name for it is "bacterial SSU rRNA". It matches the Rfam family "Bacterial small subunit ribosomal RNA", at positions 355 to 774 of the family's 1533-position model. The record is from RNAcentral.